Long non-coding RNA from Cucurbita maxima (winter squash), 343 nucleotides. RefSeq lists it as uncharacterized. Lineage: Eukaryota; Viridiplantae; Streptophyta; Magnoliopsida; Cucurbitales; Cucurbitaceae. The transcript is spliced from 3 exons. The record is from RefSeq and is a predicted model, not a curated record.
CUUCCUACCAACAAUAUCAGGUCAUCCAAAGCAAUGAUUCUAUUGGACAUACAGAUACAAGAGUAUGACGUCUAUGCACUGCCAGUAAUGUAUGUUCUCUCAAUGUACAGUAGCCGUAAAAGGAGGCGGUAUCAGUUUGAAGCUCCACCAUAGAUUUAGGUUUUAAACGCAUCAUAUUUACAUUCCACAUUAUUCAAGUCUGUAAGAUAACUUAUAUAAUACUUCAUAUGAAGUUCAAUGAAGUAUCUGAGGCACUUACACCAACUUUAACCAUAAUCAAGUACAAUAGAAAAUCCCAGGUAUUUUAAAGCUUAAAUAACAUAAACGAGAAGUAGUAGUCAGA